This 253-nucleotide ribosomal RNA is filed under the name uncultured bacterium. RNAcentral describes it as "partial 16S ribosomal RNA". It matches the Rfam family "Bacterial small subunit ribosomal RNA", at positions 524 to 776 of the family's 1533-position model. The record is from RNAcentral.
UACGAAUGGGGCUAGCGUUGUUCGGAAUUACUGGGCGUAAAGCGCACGUAGGCGGAUUAGUAAGUCAGGGGUGAAAUCCCGGGGCUCAACCUCGGAACUGCCCUUGAUACUGCUGAUCUCGAGUCCGGAAGAGGUGAGUGGAAUUCCUAGUGUAGAGGUGAAAUUCGUAGAUAUUAGGAAGAACACCAGUGGCGAAGGCGGCUCGCUGGUCCGGUACUGACGCUGAGGUGCGAAAGCGUGGGGAGAAAACAGG